Molecule: long non-coding RNA, 1487 nt
Filed under: Crocodylus porosus (Australian saltwater crocodile)
Lineage: Eukaryota; Metazoa; Chordata; Crocodylia; Crocodylidae
Description: lncRNA (ENSCPRG00005018058.1)
Source: RNAcentral
UUCUCAUUACAGCCUUAAAAACUACGAUGACGGUUCUCCUUGAACAUCACAGAGUGGUUCCAAAGCCUUCACUUAAAGUGACCUUGCCUCACAGUGUUCAUUCCUCUUUGGGGGAUUUAAAGGCUGGUUGAGUAGACCAGUUCUUCCCAGGGAAGUCAGAAAAGGAGUCAGGAAACAUGUCCCGCACAAAGCUGAAAGAGAGGAUUUUAAGAAGAGGAGGGAAAAAGCUCUUGAAAUCAAGGAUUUUCACCUUGACUUUGGAGUCACAUCUGUUCUCACUGCAAAGCAAGACAGGCGGAGGAUCUCCUGGUUCUGUCUGUUCCCCAGGGACCUCUAUGGCAGGGUUUCUGAGACAGUGAUGCUGGAUUGCAGCCCCCAAUGGCCCAACUUCUUCCACAGGAUCUCAGGGAAGCCCAGCAGAAAGAUGAUGGAUGGAUGGGGAGAAGCCGGUACCUACAGAUCAAUAUUUUCAAGGCAAUCCAGCUGACUGGUGAAGCAAAGGGACUCUAGAGCUUGGUGCCCUGCACGAACUAUGUGAACUGGAACAACCUGAGGUUGCAGCUUGGCCUGCCACUAACUCCAGGAGAGCUGGAGAUGUUCAGUACCUUGUGGACUAAAGCCCUUAUCAUUCCCCUGCGCUAUAGUGGAUACAAGUGUUGCUUAAGAAGCCAAGAAAAAAAAGACAGCUUAAAACACAGAAGGAUUAAAAGGAUGAUUACUUAUGAAACACUCUUCUCUUCAUACAGGAAAAUUGCUUGAUUGCUUUGGGCUGUGUGCAGAGGUCACUUCAUAUCAUUUGGUUCUGUGGCCAUGACCUCUUUUAACUCCUGUUACAGAGAAUGAGGAAGAGAGAACUGAUGGGAGAGGAUCAGAGCCCUCAUUGCAGGCUUCACAGAAAUGCCCAGACCACCCUAUAGGACCAUUAGUCACCUCUUGCAAAAACAAACCAGCCAGUGGGUGACAUUUCCACCGCCCCAAAUUUCAUUGCUCUCUAUCACUGAAACAUAAAGAUCCAUCUUAUUGCCCACUGGAAUUUGCCAAAUUGCUUUAAUCUCUGCCCCUUCUUUGAAUAGCUGGGUUUUCCCUGGAUCUUCACACAGCAUGACUUCAAGGAUCCUAGUGAGACCUACCUCAUGCAGCUCAGCUUCUCAGGACUCUGAAAGAAGUCAGCCAUGCUAUUAAUGCAAGUGGCAUUUUCUCUGACAAGAAGGGGAUGGAGGAACAGAGAGAGAUGAAUGGGGUAGGAGUGCACAGUAUAGGAAAACAGAUUCUCUGUACAACUGAGUAACUUUUGAACAUGUUGGCACAUUCUCCUCUGAGAAUGAUUUCUCCCUCCGUUCUAAAUUGUGCAGUCCUACCAAUUACCUCGCUCUUCUUUAUCUGUAAACAUUUAAGUAUCUGAACCUGCCUCAACGUCACAAACAGAACAGGAUGACAGGAGAAAACACCCAGUCAUUCUGAGUCUUCCCCAAAGGAAUAUUGUCCCC